RNAcentral lists this ribosomal RNA (254 nucleotides) under uncultured bacterium. RNAcentral's name for it is "partial 16S ribosomal RNA". It matches the Rfam family "Bacterial small subunit ribosomal RNA", at positions 524 to 776 of the family's 1533-position model. The record is from RNAcentral.
CACGUAGGGUGCGAGCGUUGUCCGGAAUUAUUGGGCGUAAAGAGCUCGUAGGCGGUGUGUCGCGUCGGCCGUGAAAACCUGUGGCUUAACUAUGGGCUUGCGGUCGAUACGGGCAUCACUGGAGUUCGGCAGGGGAGACUGGAAUUCCUGGUGUAGCGGUGAAAUGCGCAGAUAUCAGGAGGAACACCGGAGGCGAAGGCGGGUCUCUGGGCCGAUACUGACGCUGAGGUGCGAAAGCGUGGGGAGCAAACAGG